This 245-nucleotide unclassified non-coding RNA is filed under the name Hevea brasiliensis (rubber tree). Lineage: Eukaryota; Viridiplantae; Streptophyta; Magnoliopsida; Malpighiales; Euphorbiaceae. The record is from RNAcentral.
UGGGGCUGGUACAGGGUUAGUUGGUAUUUUGCUUGCCCGUGUUGCUAAAACUGUCUUCAUAACAGACCAUGGAGACGAAGUACUUGAGAACUGUGAGAAAAAUGUGGAUCUUAAUGCUGAAAUAUUCCAUGGGAAGACGUCUGUUCAUGUACGUGAACUUGAUUGGAAAAAUUCAUGGCCUCCUCAAGAGGAGAAUACUUCACCAUCUAAAGGAAGGUACUGGUGGACCCAAUCAGAAAUUGAAG